This 396-nucleotide long non-coding RNA is filed under the name Homo sapiens (human). Its description in RNAcentral is "HSALNT0061402". Lineage: Eukaryota; Metazoa; Chordata; Mammalia; Primates; Hominidae. The record is from RNAcentral.
CAUGGAAGUUCCUGUUUUCCAUCUUUAAGUCAUUCCAUUUCUGCCAUCAUUAGGUUUUGUUCAGCAAAAUAUAUCUUACAGGGAAAGUAUUUUCUUUGCAUUUUAAUACUCUCACUUAGUGGCAGUACAGCCAGGAUACCUGGAUUUGAAUCCUAGCUCCACCAUUUAUUUGUGUGAUUUUAGGCAAGUUACUUCACCUCUCCAUACCUCAAUUUCUUCAUGUGCAAGGUAGAUAAUAAUAACAAUAUAAUAAGGCAUGAGCCACCAUACCCAGCCAAGAUUUUAUAUUAAGAAAAGGUUUUGGUGAGGUCUCAUUUUAAUUUUAGGUUUUCCAUCUUGGUAGAAAUAUCUUGCAGUGAGCCGAGAUCGCGCCACUGCACUCCAGCCUGGGCGACA